CGGCCUACUAAAUGUGCUUUGCAUGUAGGUUUUAAGGCAUGUAGGAGCUUGACAUGGUUUCUAGUUCAGGUUGGAUAACAUCUCUUGCUUUAGUAGAUUUGGUACACAUACAUUGUGUCUGGCAGUGUUUGUUUCAACCAACUGAAGGGUUUUAGGACACAAAAAUACUACAAUUAUACCUCCUAGGAAGGGAUCCUGCUCUCAGGUUGUUGCUGUCGGAGCCGAGUCCCUAACUUCCUCAUGACAAGGUCAAGCUGAGAACCCAACCCAGCAAGCACCUAAACCUUUCUUAAAGACAAAGCCGUACCACUUCCAGGGCUGUUAAUUAUGUUCCCAGGGUUCAGCAUUAAAGUGUAACAUCGGGCUGAACCCCGUGUGCACAACCCAGCAGUGCAUGGACAUGGGCUCAACUUCAAGCAGAUCAGUAUUUGAUGUUGACUUCAAGGUGGAUUAUUUACCUCCCUAAAAUAGUCAUAGGCGUAGUCAGUACUGCUAUUUUAUUUAUCUAAAACCUCUCCCUUUAAGCAUUUUUCAAGCACUUUAUUUUUUUUUAAUAUAGUAAAGAGUUUUCUUCACCUCUCCUGUGCGCAUUAAAUGCUGGAGCACAAGCAUUGGAGUUUGCUGAGGGUGAUGUGUUGAGCAGAACAUACCUGUGUCACCGUGAGAUCAGAGGUUUGGUGUACUCAGCCCUGAUCGGAGCAAGUAUAUCCACUGCAAAACAUGGGCAGCUCAUUUUUUUUAUGUAACUAUUUAUGCAUGUGUUAAUGUUUGGUACCUUGUGCGUGCGCUCAUAAAACCAAACCUGCUGAGAUGGACCUCGGUGCUUCACAGACGUAGGCAUUGCUCUGCACGCUCAGAGUCCUCUCUAUCUUGGCAGGACCAGCUUUAGCUGAGAAACAUUUUAGGUGAAGGUUGUUUCAGCUGGGGAAGAAGCAUUCGGCAGGAUUCACAACACUAGACUCAGAAAGCUGCUGGCAGGGUGGCAGAACCGCUGUACGGAGUGCACUGCCUGGGACAUGAGGCGCACCCGGGGCUCCAGGCAGACGAGCACUUGGAGAAAUGGGCAGGAGCCUGGCCCCAGGGCUCCCCGGGGAAGUACAGAAGCGACUGGCGAGGCAGAAGUAGGCUCAGGGCCCUUCCAGCAGCCCAGGGGAGUGCCCUAACUCCAGGAGUGUAAGGAACUAGGGAGAACAACAGCACAUCCCCAAAGCCAGCUGUUCAUUUUCUUUACUUUUCUUAUAGAAAAAUCACAUUUAUUUUUUUAAUUUCAGUAAGAAAGAUGAUUAUUUUGGGUAUAAUCGGUCCCUUUUUGUUUACGUGGCUGGUAAACCAAAAUUCAGUUUAAGGCGUUAAACUAUUCAGGAAUAGAAGCUUAGGCGUGUGCACAAGUUCUUCCAGGACUGAGGGCAGACAGGACAGUAGGAGAAGCGUGACUUGUUCUUCCCUCUCGUGCCCGUGAGUGCAGUUUCCGUAGCUGUGUCCUCGUUAGUCACAGCAGGUUUGUGGGGGGGGGCUGCUGUGAAGUGAGCAUUUCUGUAAGGCAGGUGGGUCGUGUUAAUGCACUUGUUUAAAAUGCUGGUUUAGCCUCUUUGAUUAAGUGCAUUAAAAUUAUUUAAAUGCAGCAUCGUGUGCAGGUGUGCAUUUUUCUUCUGCGUCUUCAUCAGCUGGGGGUUACCUCAGGUAGGGGUGGGGCCCCUCUGAAGUCACACCACUGCACUGAAAAAGAGCACCUGGGGAGGCAGCAGCCUCGGAGGAGAAUUUUAAAGUCUAGGAUGAAAAAAAAAAAACCAGUUCCUUGGGCUAAGCAAAACAGGCUUGCUGAAACCUCAGUGAUCAUGGCUUUUAAACCCAGCCAGCAGGAACAGGGUUAGAGAAAGAUUAACCCUGCAGGAACCUGGCUGCUGUAACCCCUACUGUAUAAAUAAACCACCAGGCACGCAUCUGAGAAAGCUAACAGAAAAAAAACAACAACCUCCAGCAACCAAAAUAGCUUUUGGCCACCAUACAGCAAUGCGAAGACUGUGCUGCGAAUGCGAUCAGCCGCUGUAGGACCCCCACUUCCCAACUGCAUCUCCUAUGUCCUGGUUGCCCUGGACUCACUGACCUGCGGGGCCAGCAGCUGCAGCUGGUGAGAAAUUCCCUCUGGUUUCUUCAGGUCCUGGUGGCUGGAAAAGAGCAUUAAGCUGGGGUGAGAUUUUCAACCUCCUCUUGCUCAGCUCAACUUACGUCCAUCAGGUGCAAUUCUCACGAGGUGAGGCCCCUUCAGAUCUCAUAGGCUUUUCUAGGAGGGGAAAACGGCCUUCCUUGGCUGCCCCCCUGCAUUAAAGCAGCCCGAGAUCCUCACCAGAAAAAAAGGUAUUUUUAAAGCAUGUCCAAAAAAGUAUUUUUUAAAGCAUGUCAGGUACUGAAGUGUGAUUCAGAGACCCCCAGGCCAACCUGGCAUCACCCCGGCCUUGCCCUCUGCUCUGCAGGCAGUUUGCCCCCAUGUUUGCAGCACACCCCAUCCUUGCUAACAGCUGGGCUUGCAAAAUAACUCCCCUAUUACUUCACGGCACUAGGAUCCUCAGUAUUUUUAUGUUUGCUUGGUGGCAGUGCUACUCAACCAACUACUGGGUCAAAGCCCUACUGGGUUUCAGCUGAGCUGCAACACCUGAAAGGGAAACUGAGAAAAGGGAGAGGGGAAAAUAUAGUAUAAAACUGCACACACAAAACAAUUUUUCGUUUUAUUAUGAAAACAAAACAAAUGCCCCAGGACCAGGGUCCAUUACCAGUAACAUCAAAGAUUACUUUCUAACUUUUUUUAAAAAUUCUGUUGUGUUUGAGGCCAGCAAUUUGCAAUAAACAAGCUAAACUACUUACAUUGACUUUUUUUUUCCAGUAACUGACAUUUACAGGAAUAUACUAGAAAUGGCACUAAAAAGUUUUAAGAAAAAGUUACGGUAAAUUUGCAUGCACAUCAUACAGAAAAGUAACAUUUUUUUUUUUAAAUAUUAAAAAAAGGAAAAACAAAAACAAAUACAACAACAAAUCUUUCUGGAUGGGUUAUGCCAGUAUCAGGGAUAAGUUCUAAGUGGCCCGUGUCAAAUCCUAGCUGGUGGUUUAUUUAUUUUAAAAAAUGACAUUUAAAAAGAUAUGCAAAUACCAUUUUUGCUUUAAAUGCAUCUCAUUGUUUUACAAGCAAGAUAACGCUGCUAGUGUAACGAAUCCUCGCCCUAAAUUUAUCUUCAGCAAUGCAGAGCCUGCCCAGUUAGCCCUAGUGGUAACUGCUCGUGUAUUAGAGUAUUUAUUUUUUUCAAAUUCAUUACUAAAAAGGUUGUGCUUUGUGUGGU
Oxyura jamaicensis (ruddy duck) is the source of this 3329-nucleotide long non-coding RNA. RefSeq lists it as uncharacterized. Lineage: Eukaryota; Metazoa; Chordata; Aves; Anseriformes; Anatidae. The transcript is spliced from 4 exons. The record is from RefSeq and is a predicted model, not a curated record.